RNAcentral lists this unclassified non-coding RNA (423 nucleotides) under Hevea brasiliensis (rubber tree). Lineage: Eukaryota; Viridiplantae; Streptophyta; Magnoliopsida; Malpighiales; Euphorbiaceae. The record is from RNAcentral.
UUUCUUUUCUUUUUCUUCUUCUUCUGUUGUUGUUUUAUCUUUGGAACAGCAUCCAAAUUUUUGUUGUUUUUGUUGGUUGUAGAUUUUAUUGGAUUCAUUUCAAAGUUGGAAACUUGCUCUCUGUUAUGUUGGUGGUUUUAAUGGGUGUUCACCUUUUCUGAGUUUUGUUGAAUCACUUGACUUUUCUUACGAAUAUGUCAUUAUAUUAAUUCUAUUUGGUUUGGGUUCUUCGGUGAGAUGAUGAUGGGCUUGCUUGUUAAAUGCACUUGUUCCUGGAAUCUUGUAAUUGAGUUUUAUUUCGAUUUCGUGUCUAUUGUAAUUUGUCUUUGAACUGUUCAUUUUGGGGGCGGUGGUGUGGGCCGGGGCCGGCGGAUAAUUUCUGGCCUAAAUAAAGGUGUAUCGGAUUCACCCGUAUAUUAUCUA